Molecule: long non-coding RNA, 2162 nt
Organism: Etheostoma spectabile (orangethroat darter)
Lineage: Eukaryota; Metazoa; Chordata; Actinopteri; Perciformes; Percidae
Exons: 2
Source: RefSeq, a predicted model, not a curated record
CCCCCUGUCCCCCAUUAUGGGAGCUGAGCGUCACUCGAGCCUGGUGUGAUUGGCCGGGUGGGUGACCCCCCCCCCCCUCCCUCUUCGCGGGGUCCAAAACCUUUUUACCCUUCUUUUUCUCAUUUCCCCUCCAAUCCCAUCGUCCCCGUCAUUAAACCCCGCCCCCAAUACCCCAAAAAUGAGGGCGAGCUGCAGGGAUUCCUGCCAACCGGCCGACUUCCUCCAACAUGGCCGCUUCCCCGCCAACAGGCCGACAAAAAAGCUCCGCGCCAUAAAGCACCGGAACAGAAGAAGAGGAAAUAACAGCCCCACCCCCCCUAACUGGCCGAUAGGAACAUGGCCCCGCCCCCAACUGGCCAACAGGAACAUGGCCCCGCCCCCAACUGGCCAAUAGGAACGUGGCCCCACCUCAACUGGCCAAUAGGAACGUAGCCCCACCUCAACUGGCCAAUAGGAACGUGGCCCUGCCCCCAACUGGCCAAUAGCAACGUGACCCCCCCUCAACUGGCCAAUAGGAACAUGACCCCGCCCCCAACCGGCCAACGUUUUGAGAGAAGUUUUUUUCACACUUAUAGCAAAAAAUAUAUAAAAAAAUAUAUAUUUAAGAGUUUAAAAAAGUAUUUUGAGAUUUUUUUUUGCUAUUGGUACGAAAACUUUUUCUCUCAAAUAAUUUUUUUCUACUGCGUGUAACAAAGAAACAUUUCUAUCUCCAUGCAUCUCUAUCCUGUCAUACCCCCCCCCCCCCCCCCCCCCCCCGCCCCCCCCCCAACAGAUCAACAGUACUGUACCACGAGCUGGACGGACAAAUGGCAAGCUCUUAUUUUGGAGGGGCGGGUUAUUAUCUUCCUGCAGCAGGCGGACCGCUUUAAAAAAAUACUUUCAGAUGUUAUUUUGACUUCUGUCUAUCAGCCUACCUGUCUACCUGUCCGUCUACCUGUCUGUCUACCUGUCUGUCUAUCAGCCUACCUGUCUACCUGUCCGUCUACCUGUCUGUCUACCAGCCUACCUGUCUACCUGUCUGUCUACCUGUCUGUCUAUCUGUCUGUCCACCUGUCUGUCCACCUGUCUGUCUACCUGUCCACCUGUCUGUCCACCUGUCUACCUGUCUGUCCACCUGUCUAUCAGCCUACCUGUCUACCUGUCUGUCUGUCUAUCAGCCUACCUGUCUGUCUGUCUGUCUACCUGUCUACCUGUCCACCUGUUUGUCCACCUGUCUGUCCACCCUUCUGUCUACCUGCCUGUCUAUCAGCUUGCCUGUCUACCUGUCUGUCUGUCCGUCUACAUGUCCAUCUACAUGUCCGUCUACCCACUUGUCUACCUGCCUGUAUACCUACCUGUCUACCUGUCUACCUGUCUGUCCACCUGUCUACCUGUCCACCUGUCUGUCUGCGGCGGGCCAUGACAUCAAGUGCCUUCAGACUCCGAGGAGAAGAUCCGGACGCAGACUCAGAACCUUUGGACGUUUCUUCUUAAAGGGCCGGGACGAACACCGAUGUUUCCUGGUGAGAUUAUGCAGAGAAUUAGUUUCUCACAGAUAUUUCUUUAAUUAGAUGAAAAACAUGUUAAUGACUAGAGGAUUCCGGGAUACGGAAGCCAAGAAGACGUGGCAUCGAAGACGCCGUGGACAGGAAGUGGACAUUUGGACACAGAACAGAAAGCUCCUUACAUUUAUUUAACAAUUGCAAUCACAAUCGGAGGAGCUGGGACUGGAUAUUUCAAAAUAAAAGACUUCCGGUUCGGGGGAUUUUUCAGCCCCGGGUCAACGGGAUUCAAGCAUUUGUUCUCUCAGAACUAUUUUAGUAUUUCAAAAUAAGAGUUUCCAGAGACUUUGACUCUGCCGGAGUUACUUCAAAAACAGCUGGAGCCUUUUGGGAAAAGGCCGAAAAAUGUAUGUAAUCAAAUCUUCUAUUGCUCCUAUGGUAUUAUAAAGAGGGAGUCCGUUUCUUUUCCUCUUAUAUUUCAGUUUUGACGCUUUCUUUACACCUUAAGUUCAGGUUUUAUUUUUUUAUCCCUGCAAAAAAGUUGUGAAAGAUCUAAAAAAUCUAGAUGAUAUGUAUUGUUUAAGUUUUUGGUUUCAGGGAGUCGAUGGUUUCCAGAUUUGCUGAUAAAACAUUUCUACUAAAAACAAGUUACAUGGUGAGGGUUCAUUUAAAAAAAUAAAA